GGCUACGUAGGAAAGUGGCUUAAUCCGCCCGACUGUCUAUCGGGAGAUCGAGGGUUCGAAUCCCUCCGCAGCCG
Molecule: transfer RNA, 74 nt
Filed under: Lachnospiraceae bacterium
Lineage: Bacteria; Bacillati; Bacillota; Clostridia; Lachnospirales; Lachnospiraceae
Description: tRNA-Asp
Rfam family: tRNA
About the family: Transfer RNA (tRNA) molecules are approximately 80 nucleotides in length. Their secondary structure includes four short double-helical elements and three loops (D, anti-codon, and T loops).
Source: RNAcentral